Molecule: ribosomal RNA, 470 nt
Filed under: Hepatozoon canis
Lineage: Eukaryota; Apicomplexa; Hepatozoidae
Description: bacterial SSU rRNA
Rfam family: Eukaryotic small subunit ribosomal RNA
Source: RNAcentral
UUAUUAGAUAAAAAGCCAGUUCAUGCUUUUACAGUAUGAAAAUUGGUGAUUUAUAAUAACUUAGCAAAUCGCAAAGUGAAAACAGGCGAUAAAUCAUUCAAGUUUCUGACCUAUCAGCUUUCGACGGUAUGGUAUUGGCUUACCGUGGCAGUGACGGUUAACGGGGGAUUAGGGUUCGAUUCCGGAGAGGGAGCCUGAGAAACGGCUACCACAUCUAAGGAAGGCAGCAGGCGCGCAAAUUACCCAAUUCUAACAGUUUGAGAGAGGUAGUAACAAGAAAUAACAAUACAAGGCAGUUAAAAUGCUUUGUAAUUGGAAUGAUAGAAAUUUAAACCCUUUUUAAAGUAUCAAUUGGAGGGCAAGUCUGGUGCCAGCAGCCGCGGUAAUUCCAGCUCCAAUAGCGUAUAUUAAAAUUGUUGCAGUUAAAAAGCUCGUAGUUGAAGUUCUGCUGAAAGUAACCGGUCUGCUUU